CUCCUGCCUAAUUUAAAAUCAGGAGAGGAGCUGAAAGAGACCCCAAACUGCACACUUGUGUAACAAAUGAUGUGUAUAUAUCCUCACUGAAAAAGUUUCAGGAUUCUUCAUUUCUGAUGCAAAUAAUUUCCAACAACAUUACUGACCGGACACCAAAUUUGUGUGAAAUGUUACUAAAUGGGUGGCAUCCUUUGAAAUGAGAGACAUUUAAGAGAGCAUCAAGAAGCAAAGAGUGAGCUUUCUAGUCCAACCUCCCAAGCCACAUAUUUAAGCCCAUUCAGCAUUAUGAACAAAAGAAUACUGUGUGAUAGGGAGGAGUUUCUUAGAAUUGAACCAUAUUUCACCUGAAGGAACAGCUGGAACAGUUUGAAGAAAUAGCAAUCAAAAGCAGUCUGGCUGACAUCUUGAAAUGGUCUUCUUGGGAGCCGGUCCAAAGCAGUUUGCUGGAAUUCUAAAAGUUGCGUUCUGCAUCAGGGCGUUAUUAACUUUACUUUUGUCACAUAACAGAAUU
This is a long non-coding RNA of Mauremys reevesii (Reeves's turtle), 511 nucleotides long. RefSeq lists it as uncharacterized. The transcript is spliced from 3 exons. NCBI's taxonomy places the organism in Eukaryota, Metazoa, Chordata, Testudines, Geoemydidae. The record is from RefSeq and is a predicted model, not a curated record.